This 487-nucleotide ribosomal RNA is filed under the name uncultured bacterium. Its description in RNAcentral is "bacterial SSU rRNA". It matches the Rfam family "Bacterial small subunit ribosomal RNA", at positions 30 to 508 of the family's 1533-position model. The record is from RNAcentral.
AUUGAACGCUGGCGGCGUGCCUAACACAUGCAAGUCGAGCGGUAACAGGUGUAGCAAUACAUGCUGACGAGCGGCGAACGGGUGAGUAAUGCUUCGGAAUCUACCUUAUGGUGGGGAAUAACUAGCCGAAAGGUUAGCUAAUACCGCAUACGUCCUACGGGAGAAAGCAGGGGAUCGCAAGACCUUGCGCCGAUAGAUGAGCCGAAGUCGGAUUAGCUAGUUGGUGAGGUAACGGCUCACCAAGGCGACGAUCCGUAGCUGGUCUGAGAGGACGACCAGCCACACUGGGACUGAGACACGGCCCAGACUCCUACGGGAGGCAGCAGUGGGGAAUAUUGGACAAUGGGGGCAACCCUGAUCCAGCGACGCCGCGUGUGUGAAGAAGGCCUGCGGGUUGUAAAGCACUUUUAGUGGGGAUGAAAUGUGCAGGGUUAAUACCUCUGCAUUUUGACCUAACCCACAGAAAAAGCACCGGCCAACUCUGUGC